RNAcentral lists this ribosomal RNA (547 nucleotides) under uncultured eukaryote. RNAcentral describes it as "eukaryotic LSU rRNA". It matches the Rfam family "Eukaryotic large subunit ribosomal RNA", at positions 1054 to 1588 of the family's 3401-position model. The record is from RNAcentral.
AUUCUCGAACUCCGAACGGGCAAGGAGCCGGGGUCGCCCGAUCGGACCCCGGACGUGAAGUCGACGAUGGUCGGUGGGCUGGUUUUGGUAAGCAGAACGGGCGAUUCGGGAUGAACCGGAAGCGGGGAGAAAGGGCCCGAGAUUGCGUCGACGCGGAUCCCGAAAAGGGCGUCGAUCCGUCGCGACAGCGGGACGGUGGUCAUGGAAGUCGAAAUCCGCUAAGAAGCGUGUAAAAACGUACCCGCCCAACGGAUCGGCCCCCGAAAAUUGAUGGCGCUCGAACGCAACCCUCGAACCCCGCCGACGGAGGCUAGGGGAGGCCCCGUCGAGUAGGCGGACGCGCGGGUCGCUUCGACGCUCCCGCGCGAGCGGGGCGGAGCGGCCCGUGGUGCAGAUCUUGGUGGUAGUAGCGAUCACCCAGGCGAGAACCCUGAGGGCCGAAGUGGAGAAGGGUUCUCGAGAACGGCACUCGCUCGAGAGUUAGUCGAUCCUAAGCUGCCGGCGGCAGCCACGAAACGGUCGAUCGGGCGCGAGCCCGGCAGCCCAC